GAUGAACGCUGGCGGCGUGCCUAAUACAUGCAAGUCGAGCGAACAGACGAGGAGCUUGCUCCUCUGACGUUAGCGGCGGACGGGUGAGUAACACGUGGAUAACCUACCUAUAAGACUGGGAUAACUUCGGGAAACCGGAGCUAAUACCGGAUAAUAUAUUGAACCGCAUGGUUCAAUAGUGAAAGACGGUUUUGCUGUCACUUAUAGAUGGAUCCGCGCCGCAUUAGCUAGUUGGUAAGGUAACGGCUUACCAAGGCAACGAUGCGUAGCCGACCUGAGAGGGUGAUCGGCCACACUGGAACUGAGACACGGUCCAGACUCCUACGGGAGGCAGCAGUAGGAAAUCUUCCGCAAAGGGCGAAAGCCUGACGGAGCAACGCCGCGUGAGUGAUGAAGGUCUUCGGAUCGUAAAACUCUGUUAUUAGGGAAGAACAAAUGUGUAAGUAACUAUGCACGUCUUGACGGUACCUAAUCAGAAAGCCACGGCUAACUACGUG
This 497-nucleotide ribosomal RNA is filed under the name uncultured bacterium. Its description in RNAcentral is "partial 16S ribosomal RNA". It matches the Rfam family "Bacterial small subunit ribosomal RNA", at positions 28 to 507 of the family's 1533-position model. The record is from RNAcentral.